This is a long non-coding RNA of Apus apus (common swift), 3867 nucleotides long. RefSeq lists it as uncharacterized. NCBI's taxonomy places the organism in Eukaryota, Metazoa, Chordata, Aves, Apodiformes, Apodidae. The transcript has 2 exons. The record is from RefSeq and is a predicted model, not a curated record.
CAUAACACCCUGUGGUGGCUGGGAGAUGGGGAGCAACAGCUUGAGCCCCAUUGCUAAGUUCAGCCAUGCCAAGAAUUUCUAUUUUAGUGUAAAGCAUUUUCACUAAGCAAUUAUUUGGAAAAUUUCAGCUUCAGUUACAACACUACCAAAAAAUGACCUGCAGCACCUCAAGAAGUGGGAUAGGGUCAGUACUCCAGCAGGGCAAGAGCAUAGCCAAGGAAAGGAAGAAGGAAAUAGGACGCUUUGUCCCUGCAGACCUUGGCUUUAAUCCACUUCAGCAUGAUGGCUACCUGUUCUCCAGUAUAUCUAAACAUUGAUUCCAGAGGGAGAGAGCAUGAUAAAGGAAUGAGGAGAGGAGAGGAUAGGAUUAAAGUUAUCAAUACAUUCCCCAAUCUCCCCCGUACUUUGAGAUCCUGUCUGACAUUACUGCAAGUUAACAUCUUUAAACUGAGGCCAGUGAGCCAGGGCCAGUGGAUAAGUCAUGUGAAGCAGUGCUGUAAAUCCAUGAUCUCUGAGCCUGUCUGUGAAGGAAAGUACUGCAGAAAUUGCAUGGAGGCUUUGGGAUAUAACAGGUCUGCACAAGAAAAGGGGUAGUGGAGAGGCUCUAUCUCACACUAGAAAACCUGGCUACAUUUUUAGCCAUUCCUUUGUAGGAUCUGAGUGCCUGAACUUUAAUUCCCCAUGUCACUUUAACACAGAGCAAUGCAUCUUCACCAUCCAUCUUCCACAUCACCAUCACCACAGCACAAAUGGGGCAAAUACACUAACCUAAAUGACUCACUCAGUGUAUCAAGGAGGAGCUUGCUGAGAUGCAGCAAAGUAAAGCAGAAUCUGCCUGGAGCCCACAGUAAGCUUUCACCAAUAGGUCCUCUUACCUGAAAGGAUCUCAGUUAUUUAUUAUUAGUUACUGGCUGCAGUAUGUCAGGUACAGUAUGUAACAUCUCCUCCUUCUGGUCGGAUUCUGCACACCUGUUGUGCUCACUUUUAAUGUAAAUUCAGUUUUCUGGGCACAAAUUGGAAUCCUCGUUGUUUUUUCACUCUGAUUUCUCCUGUAGAACUCUCCAGAAAAGAGGCCGUAUCUUGAAGACUCGAGACCUUUUGAAGAUGGGAGGUGCCACUAAAAGAGUGAGAUCAUGGAUGCAAAUCCUUUCGUGUUGGAUGAAGCUCCACAGUGAGAGGCAUGGGGUCAGCAGUUUGAAAAGCCCUGAGAAGAUAGAAAACAUAUGCUCUGCCUUCUUUGUAUGUAUGUGGAUUUUUAAAAGGAGAGAAGCUACUCAAGGCACUGAAAAUAAUGACUUCUGGUGCCUAAGUGGAAGAUGGAAGCUAAACUCUGUCUAAUCAAGACUAUGAAGUGAGUAUGUGUGGGAAGAGAAGAGGAGGGAGAACUUCUUCUUACCAGGACACUUCAUACCAGGACACACAGGAGCUCCUGCAGCUCCUGUGCAGAAGCUAAUGUUCCAAUGUGCAGCUAGUACAGGUCCUUUUGGGUAAUCGGAUCCUCCAGCCAAUAAAGGAAAUGAGCUGCUGGUCCUAGCCCAUGACACCUUAGCUCUCUGGAUCCAUGUCCUUGCUCUUCCAAGGACUGAUGGAUUCAUGUGAAGCUCUGGUCAUGUCUCAUCAGUCUUUCCAUCACUGAUGCUCCCCAGUUCCCAGCAUUCUGACCUAAGUUGUGCAUGCCCUGGGGCUCCUGCAUGGGUGAGAGUUUUAGUAUGUGGCGUGGAAGGCCAGGAAAGUUGGCCCCAUAUAAUUCAUGGUGAAAGCCUUCAAGGCCAACCCUUUUCUACACCUGUCUUCAUACUUCUUUGCCUUUCAUUAAUUGCACUUUAUUAAUUGCUUUUCUUAUGUUGGAGGCAUAGGGGAGAAAGAUGCAAGUGAAAUGCUUCCCAUGGAAGGAAGAAGGGUCUCAAAGUUGCCCCAUGAGAUGAAUCACUUCUCUUACUCCAAAAUUCAGGAAGAAACAGUGAGGACAUUGUAGCAGGUGCUGAGCCUACUGCAGGGGCCGAGUCCCUCCUAAUUAGCUCACCUCUCAAGAACUUAUCUCCUGACUGGAUCAGACCUUCAGACUACACAAGAGGAAAACUGUUGAAAGGAGGAAGUGGGUGAGGAGGAUGUGUUUCUUACUUUUUCUCAGAGGCAACUCCAUAAAUCUCCACAUAUUAAGGUCUUCCAUAUGCUGUUUUUCAAUAUCAGCUUGUCACUUCAAGCUGUCUGACGUGAACUGUUGGAUGCAUCUGCUCUUGUCUCCAGGACUCAUUCACAUCCCACCCAGAUGCCAGAAAAGGUUGAAAAGAACAGUAGAAAAUGCAAAAGAUGACAGUUUGGAUCAUAGAUGUUUUCCAGAGUUGCAACCUAUUGACCCAUUUUCAACAGGCUCAGUGGCAUAGCCUAUAUAUCAAGAUCAGUGAACAUCAUCAGAAGGAAAAGGACUGUCUGAAACAAAAAAAAUAAAACCAGUCUCCCGGUGUAGCUGAAGCAGCCAAAUACUGCCUUCCUCAGCUCUCCCAGAACUUCCUGGAUAUCUAGCAUCCAUCCAGCACUUGAAGAUUUCUGACUCAUUUCACAACAGAGUUCAGCAGGGCACUGGCAUCUAUUAUCAGAGAUUUUAUUAUUAUUUUUUUUAGGGAAAAAAUAUGAACUCAUAUGGACCUAUGAACUGUUCUGCUCUUACUAAUAUAUCCCUUGUUACCUGUACACACUCAAGUGCAAGAGAUGCAGAAGCAGGCAGGAACAGAGCCAGCAAUGAGAGAAAAGUAGCAUUGCAGACCUGAAGUGAGCUGAGACUUCCACUUAAAUCUCAGUGGCACAGGUCUCAGAAAGUUUGCAAGCUCGCAUCUGAAGCUCAGCUUUGCAGCUGAUUCUGCUCUUUACAGGAUACAAAGAAUUGCUAAAUCCUAGAUCCUAAAAUUGAGCUUUAGCUCUCCUUCUGGAUGCCAGUCCACAGCUUGGAUUCAUACAAGCUCUUGGGGAUUGGGGUAGACCACUGGAGGUGCAAAUACCUCAUUGUUUACAAGCACUGGGAACCAGCAAAGCAACUUUUUUUUUUUUUUUAAUGUUUUUUCCAGUCUGCUGGCUUUCUGGAUAUAGACAUUUAAAAUGAGUGCUGUGGGAUUCAUUGCCACAGGUUACUCUGGAAAUCAAAAGCAGAAGUGGCUUAAAAAUCAGAAGUGGCUGACCCAUAAGUUUUGGGAGAACAAGUCCACUGGUAAUUAAUGCAACAGUCUAACUCCAGCCUCCAGCUUGAAAGGUUCCUAAACAAGUGAUUGCUGAGAUAAUAUCAUCAGCAAAUACUACCUUAUAUGUGACCUGAUUUUAUACUCUCCCUUUACACAUACACUAUGGGUCAUAUUGGUGAGUGUCCUGGAAGAGAUGGCUCAUCUUAUCUGAAACUUGGAGAAAACUGGAGAAGAAAAGUGCAAUAUCACUUCUUUUUUACCCUUUAAAACAACCUCCCUGAAGAAGCUUGAUUCAAAUUGGGAGCUAGUCAAGUUCAAACUGGAAAGUUAGGGAAAAUUCUAACUUCCUCCAAAGAGCUGUAUGUAGGGUUAGAGAAAAAAUCCAAACAAACAUAGCCUUCCACAGGGUUUUGUUGCCUUGGUACUCUCCUGGGAGCAUUGCUGUGAUAUUUGAGAACAUAUAGCCCCUGCAGCUAAGAUCCAGCUGUGGAAGUGAUGAUAUGCAGUAGUGACUAGGAAUAACAGUGAACCAGGCUUCAGUGACCCAGCUGCCUCUCCUAGUCCUCACUUCUUUGUUUGCCUACUACAAUAAUAAUGAGAUAUUUCCAUUCAAUACCAAUGGGGUGUAUGGAGGCUGUCAUGGGGCUUGUACAUGGGUAUAGAUGUAUAUUUCAAAUAAAGUUUUCUGGGCUGA